AACGCACAUUGCGCCCCUUGGUAUUCCGGGGGGCAUGCCUGUUCGAGCGUCAUUUCAACCCUCAAGCCUUGCUUGGUCUUGGGCUCUGCCGGCAACGGCUUGCCUUAAACUCAGUGGCGGUGCCAUUCGAGCUCUACGCGUAGUAGUAAAACCCUCGCGAUUGAGUCUUGGUGGAUGCUGGCCAGCAACCCCUCAGUUUCUAUGGUUGACCUCGGAUCAGGUAGGGAUACCCGCUGAACUUAA
This 243-nucleotide unclassified non-coding RNA is filed under the name uncultured fungus. RNAcentral describes it as "sequence contains ITS2". Lineage: Eukaryota; Fungi. The record is from RNAcentral.